Molecule: ribosomal RNA, 387 nt
Filed under: uncultured bacterium
Lineage: Bacteria
Description: bacterial SSU rRNA
Rfam family: Bacterial small subunit ribosomal RNA
Source: RNAcentral
AUUGAACGCUGGCGGCAGGCCUAACACAUGCAAGUCGAGCGGAUGAGUGGAGCUUGCUCCAUGAUUCAGCGGCGGACGGGUGAGUAAUGCCUAGGAAUCUGCCUGGUAGUGGGGGACAACGUUUCGAAAGGAACGCUAAUACCGCAUACGUCCUACGGGAGAAAGCAGGGGGACCUUCGGGCCUUGCGCUAUCAGAUGAGCCUAGGUCGGAUUAGCUAGUAGGUGAGGUAAUGGCUCACCUAGGCGACGAUCCGUAACUGGUCUGAGAGGAUGAUCAGUCACACUGGAACUGAGACACGGUCCAGACUCCUACGGGAGGCAGCAGUGGGGAAUAUUGGACAAUGGGCGAAAGACCUGAUCCAGCCAUGCCGCGUGUGUGAAGAAGGU